UUUCGCAAUGCCCGAAAGGGUGACGAAGCGACGCCGCGUGUGGGAAGAAGGCCUUCGGGUUGUAAACCACUGUCGGGAGUUAGGAAGUGCAGGAGCGUUAAUAGCGUUCUUGCUUGACUAAGGCUCCAGAGGAAGCCACGGCUAACUCUGUGCCAGCAGCCGCGGUAAUACAGAGGCGGCAAGCGUUGUUCGGAAUUAUUGGGCGUAAAGAGCACGUAGGCGGCCUUGCAAGUCAGUUGUGAAAGCCUUCCGCUCAACGGAAGAAUGCCAGCUGAUACUACAGGGCUUGAGUACGGGAGGGGAGAGUGGAACUUCUGGUGGAGCGGUGAAAUGCGUAGAUAUCAGAAGGAACGCCGGCGGCGAAAGCGACUCUCUGGCCCGAAACUGACGCUGAGUGUGCGAAAGCUAGGGGAGCAAACGGGAUUAGAUACCCCGGUAGUCCUAGCCGUAAACGAUGGGCACUAAGUAGAGGGGUUUUA
RNAcentral lists this ribosomal RNA (479 nucleotides) under uncultured bacterium. RNAcentral's name for it is "bacterial SSU rRNA". It matches the Rfam family "Bacterial small subunit ribosomal RNA", at positions 364 to 833 of the family's 1533-position model. The record is from RNAcentral.